Molecule: transfer RNA, 73 nt
Filed under: Stegodyphus mimosarum
Lineage: Eukaryota; Metazoa; Arthropoda; Arachnida; Araneae; Eresidae
Rfam family: tRNA
About the family: Transfer RNA (tRNA) molecules are approximately 80 nucleotides in length. Their secondary structure includes four short double-helical elements and three loops (D, anti-codon, and T loops).
Source: Rfam by way of RNAcentral
GAAUUACUAGUGCAGUAGAUAGCACGUUCGGCUAGCAAUCGUGAGGUCUCGUGUUCGAAUCACGGGGAAAACA